GACGAACGCUGGCGGCGUGCUUAACACAUGCAAGUCGUACGGUAAGGCCCUUUCGGGGGUACACGAGUGGCGAACGGGUGAGUAACACGUGAGUAACCUGCCCACAACUUUGGGAUAACGCUAGGAAACUGGUGCUAAUACUGGAUAUGUGCUCCUGCUGCAUGGUGGGGGUUGGAAAGCUCCGGCGGUUGUGGAUGGACUCGCGGCCUAUCAGCUUGUUGGUGGGGUAGAGGCCUACCAAGGCGGCGACGGGUAGCCGGCCUGAGAGGGUGACCGGCCACAUUGGGACUGAGAUACGGCCCAGACUCCUACGGGAGGCAGCAGUGGGGAAUAUUGCACAAUGGGCGCAAGCCUGAUGCAGCAACGCCGCGUGCGGGAUGACGGCCUUCGGGUUGGAAACCGCUUUCAGCAGGGACGAAGCUUUUUGUGACGGUACCUGCAGAAGAAGCACCGGCUAACUACGUG
This 465-nucleotide ribosomal RNA is filed under the name uncultured bacterium. Its description in RNAcentral is "partial 16S ribosomal RNA". It matches the Rfam family "Bacterial small subunit ribosomal RNA", at positions 28 to 507 of the family's 1533-position model. The record is from RNAcentral.